Molecule: non-coding RNA, 786 nt
Organism: Nelumbo nucifera (sacred lotus)
Lineage: Eukaryota; Viridiplantae; Streptophyta; Magnoliopsida; Proteales; Nelumbonaceae
Source: RefSeq, a predicted model, not a curated record
UUUACUUUAAUUCCCAUUAACUUGUCAGCCCGAUUCAACCGGAUGGGAAAAAAACAAAAGCAGCGAAAACCAAGCACUCCCAUUCUUCCUCCCCCACACUUCGUUUGAACUCUCUUUCCCCAUUUUCUCCAGAGCCUUAGCUCAAGAACACAAGACCACGGGCGGUACUCUUCACUGUUUCACUGAGCUUCGACGGCGUGCACUCAACCGGCGACCAUCAGCGACAAGAUUCAACCGGCAUGCACCAAUCUUCUCAAAUCUUAUCUUCUUCAUUGCAGCAGACUGUUGCUGAUAAUAAUUUCUUCACCGGUAGAAGUUAAAAGAUAUUAAGGAGAAGAUUGAAAUAGAGUGGUCUGUUAUCUGUUUGUUAAUGGAGUUUCAACGAAUCUAUAUCUCAAUGUCAAGCUCUUCUUCUUCUUCUUCUGUAUCUUCACCGAGCCAUAGACCACAAGCUCACUGGCGGUUUCAUUGCAAACCGACAUUCGUGAAAUCAACCGUAAAAUCUAUUGGCGACGGUAAGAAAUCAACCGGAGCUCGUGAAGCCAAAUGUAAAAUCUACCGGCAGCAGAAAAAAAUCAACUGGUGGUCAUCUAAAAUCAYUCAGUAGAACAAGUCUGUAUCUCCACGCCAAACUCUUCUUCUUCUCAUUCUCUUCCUCCUCUCCUUAUUUUCCCUUUUUAUUCUCUCAUUUCUGUCGACUACUGUGACCAAGCUAUUGCCGACUGCUAUGAUGAAGCUAUUGCUAGAAGAUUUCUGUCAAUAUACUUUGCUAGUCUUCUUUGUUUU